GACGAACGCUGGCGGCGUGCUUAACACAUGCAAGUCGAACGAAGUGGCGAACGGGUGAGUAACGCGUAAUCAACCUGCCCUUCAGAGGGGGACAACAGUUGGAAACGACUGCUAAUACCGCAUACUGAAGGUGGGGAGUGCGUCGGAUGAGCUAGUUGGAGGGGUAACGGCCCACCAAGGCGAGGAUCAGUAGCCGGUCUGAGAGGAUGAAAGGCCACAUUGGGACGGGGACACGGCCCAGACUCCUACGGGAGGAAGCAGUGGGGAAGCUUCCGCAAUGGACGAAAGUCUGACGGAGCAACGCGGCGUGAGUGAUGACGGCCUUCGGGUUGUAAAGCUCUGUUAAUCGGGACGCGGUACCGGAAUAGAAAGCCACGGCUAACUACGUGCCAGCAGCCGCGGUAAUUC
This 408-nucleotide ribosomal RNA is filed under the name uncultured bacterium. RNAcentral's name for it is "partial 16S ribosomal RNA". It matches the Rfam family "Bacterial small subunit ribosomal RNA", at positions 28 to 526 of the family's 1533-position model. The record is from RNAcentral.